GGUGAACGCUGGCGGCUUGCUUAAUACAUGCAAGUCGAGCUAACAGACGAGGAGCUUGCUCCUCUGACGUUAGCCGCGUAAAGGACUGUCACCCCUGCUAAACCCACCUUUUAGACUUGGAUAAUUUUGGCAAACCGGAUCUAAUUCUGGAUACUAUUUUGAAUCACAUUGUUCUAUAGUGUAAGACAGUUUUGCUUUCCCUUAUUUAUGGAUCCGGGCCGCAUUACCUAGUUGGUAAGAUAACGACUUACCAAGGGAACGAUGCGUAGCCGACCUGAGAGGGUGGUCGGCCACACUGGAACUGAGACACGGUCCAGACUCCUACGGGAGGCAGCAGUAGGGAAUCGUCAGCAAUGGGCGAAAGCUAGACGGAGCAACGCCGCGUGAGUGAUGAAGGUCUUCGGAUCGUAAGACUCUGUUAUUAGGGAAGAACAAAUGUGUAAGUAACGAUGCACGUCUUGACGGUACCUAAUCAGAAAGCCACGGCUAACUACGUG
Molecule: ribosomal RNA, 497 nt
Filed under: uncultured bacterium
Lineage: Bacteria
Description: partial 16S ribosomal RNA
Rfam family: Bacterial small subunit ribosomal RNA
Source: RNAcentral